RNAcentral lists this transfer RNA (76 nucleotides) under Staphylococcus aureus. RNAcentral describes it as "tRNA-Thr". It matches the Rfam family "tRNA". From Rfam's summary of the family: Transfer RNA (tRNA) molecules are approximately 80 nucleotides in length. Their secondary structure includes four short double-helical elements and three loops (D, anti-codon, and T loops). Lineage: Bacteria; Bacillati; Bacillota; Bacilli; Caryophanales; Staphylococcaceae. The record is from RNAcentral. RNAcentral also lists the same sequence under 1 other name.
GCCGGCCUAGCUCAAUUGGUAGAGCAACUGACUUGUAAUCAGUAGAUUGGGGGUUCAAGUCCUCUGGCCGGCACCA